UGCCGUAAGCUCAUCUGAUAUGGACGGAGAUGGACUGUUAGGUUUCGAGGAUUUCCAAAGGCUUAUGGAGAGCAGCACCUCCGUCCAUAUCAGAUGAGCUUACGGCANNNNGACUCCGCUUCCUCAUUAGAAAGGUCCCCUCCCAUCGUCCUCACGCAGCUCCGCAACUCAUCCGCAGAUAUCUUUCCAUCUCCAUUCUCGUCGAAGUAGUUGAAGACCUUUUGAAGUUCGGUGGCGAUAGCACCAUUAGUUGAUGGAGGAGGAGAAAGAGAACGCGGACUGUCGGCUCUCCUUGGAGAUAAUUUNNNNNNNNNCGCAAUCUUGUUAGAGCAGAUUUGGGUGAAGUUGAAGGCGAAUAUGGAGGUGAAAGCUUAUCGGAAAUCAUGAUAAAAUUAAGGGAUGGUUAUAUAGCA
Molecule: unclassified non-coding RNA, 413 nt
Filed under: Hevea brasiliensis (rubber tree)
Lineage: Eukaryota; Viridiplantae; Streptophyta; Magnoliopsida; Malpighiales; Euphorbiaceae
Source: RNAcentral